Molecule: ribosomal RNA, 606 nt
Filed under: uncultured Spirochaeta sp.
Lineage: Bacteria; Pseudomonadati; Spirochaetota; Spirochaetia; Spirochaetales; Spirochaetaceae
Description: bacterial SSU rRNA
Rfam family: Bacterial small subunit ribosomal RNA
Source: RNAcentral
AGACUUAUCUGCAGUCGAGAUUCUACGGGAGGCAGCAGCUAAGAAUCUUCCGCAAUGGGCGAAAGCCUGACGGAGCGACGCCGCGUGGACGAAGAAGGCCGGAAGGUUGUAAAGUCCUUUUCCUGGGGGAGAAUAAUGCGGGGAGGGAAUGCCCUGCAGAUGACGUGAACCAGGGAAUAAGCCCCGGCUAAUUACGUGCCAGCAGCCGCGGUAACACGUAAGGGGCGAGCGUUGUUCGGAUUUAUUGGGCGUAAAGGGCGUGUAGGCGGUAGUGCAAGUCUGGUGUGAAAGGCCCCGGCUCAACCGGGGAAGCGCGCUGGAAACUGUGCUGCUAGAGUUUAGGAGGGGAAGCUGGAAUUCCUGGUGUAGGGGUGAAAUCUGUAGAGAUCAGGAAGAACACCGGAGGCGAAGGCGAGCUUCUGGCCAUAGACUGACGCUGAGGCGCGAAAGCGUGGGGAGCAAACAGGAUUAGAUACCCUGGUAGUCCACGCUGUAAACGAUGUGCACUAGGUGUUGGGGGUAUGAACUCUCGGUGCCGGAGCUAACGCGUUAAGUGCACCGCCUGGGGAGUACGCCGGCAACGGUAAAACUCAAAGGAAUUGACGG